Molecule: ribosomal RNA, 164 nt
Filed under: Leymus angustus
Lineage: Eukaryota; Viridiplantae; Streptophyta; Magnoliopsida; Poales; Poaceae
Also listed under: 2 other names
Description: 5.8S ribosomal RNA
Rfam family: 5.8S ribosomal RNA
About the family: 5.8S ribosomal RNA (5.8S rRNA) is a component of the large subunit of the eukaryotic ribosome. It is transcribed by RNA polymerase I as part of the 45S precursor that also contains 18S and 28S rRNA. Functionally, it is thought that 5.8S rRNA may be involved in ribosome translocation.
Source: RNAcentral
CCACACGACUCUCGGCAACGGAUAUCUCGGCUCUCGCAUCGAUGAAGAACGUAGCGAAAUGCGAUACCUGGUGUGAAUUGCAGAAUCCCGCGAACCAUCGAGUCUUUGAACGCAAGUUGCGCCCGAGGCCACCCGGCCGAGGGCACGCCUGCCUGGGCGUCACG